This 649-nucleotide ribosomal RNA is filed under the name uncultured bacterium. RNAcentral's name for it is "bacterial SSU rRNA". It matches the Rfam family "Bacterial small subunit ribosomal RNA", at positions 45 to 683 of the family's 1533-position model. The record is from RNAcentral.
GGCCUAACACAUGCAAGUCGAGCGGCAGCGGGAAGUAGCUUGCUACUUUGCCGGCGAGCGGCGGACGGGUGAGUAACGCGUGGGAAUCUACCCAUUUGUGGGGGAUAACUUGGGGAAACUCAAGCUAAUACCGCAUAAUCCCUACGGGGGAAAGCAGGGGAUCUUCGGACCUUGCGCAGAUGGAUGAGCCCGCGUCGGAUUAGCUAGUUGGUAGGGUAAAGGCCUACCAAGGCGACGAUCCGUAACUGGUCUGAGAGGAUGACCAGUCACAUCGGGACUGAGACACGGCCCGAACUCCUACGGGAGGCAGCAGUGGGGAAUCUUGGACAAUGGGGGCAACCCUGAUCCAGCCAUGCCGCGUGUGUGAAGAAGGCCCUAGGGUUGUAAAGCACUUUCAGUAGGGAGGAAGGCUUCGGGUUAAUACCCUGGAGUACUUGACGUUACCUACAGAAGAAGCACCGGCUAAUUUCGUGCCAGCAGCCGCGGUAAUACGAAAGGUGCGAGCGUUAAUCGGAAUUACUGGGCGUAAAGCGCGCGUAGGCGGUUAGUUAAGUCGGAUGUGAAAGCCCAGGGCUCAACCUUGGAACUGCAUCCGAUACUGGCUAGCUAGAGUGCAGUAGAGGGAGGUGGAAUUUCCGGUGUAGCGGUG